RNAcentral lists this ribosomal RNA (424 nucleotides) under uncultured bacterium. RNAcentral's name for it is "bacterial SSU rRNA". It matches the Rfam family "Bacterial small subunit ribosomal RNA", at positions 355 to 795 of the family's 1533-position model. The record is from RNAcentral.
UGGGGAAUCUUAGACAAUGGGGGCAACCCUGAUCUAGCCAUGCCGCGUGAGUGAUGAAGGCCUUAGGGUCGUAAAGCUCUUUCGCCUGUGAUGAUAAUGACAGUAGCAGGUAAAGAAACCCCGGCUAACUCCGUGCCAGCAGCCGCGGUAAUACGGAGGGGGUUAGCGUUGUUCGGAAUUACUGGGCGUAAAGCGCGCGUAGGCGGAUUAGAAAGUUGGGGGUGAAAUCCCGGGGCUCAACCCCGGAACUGCCUCCAAAACUGCUAGUCUAGAGUUCGAGAGAGGUGAGUGGAAUUCCGAGUGUAGAGGUGAAAUUCGUAGAUAUUCGGAGGAACACCAGUGGCGAAGGCGGCUCACUGGCUCGAUACUGACGCUGAGGUGCGAAAGUGUGGGGAGCAAACAGGAUUAGAUACCCCUGGUAGUC